AACGAACGCUGGCGGCAUGCCUAACACAUGCAAGUCGAACGAGACCUUCGGGUCUAGUGGCGCACGGGUGCGUAACGCGUGGGAACCUGCCCUUAGGUUCGGAAUAACUCCCCGAAAGGGGUGCUAAUACCGGAUAAUGUCUUCGGACCAAAGAUUUAUCGCCUUUGGAUGGGCCCGCGUUGGAUUAGCUAGUUGGUAGGGUAAAAGCCUACCAAGGCGACGAUCCAUAGCUGGUCUGAGAGGAUGAUCAGCCACACUGGGACUGAGACACGGCCCAGAAUACUACGGGAGGCAGCAGUGGGGAAUAUUGGAAAAUGGGCGAAAGCAUGAUCCAGCAAUGCCGCGUGAGUGAUGAAGGCCUUAGGGUUGUAAAGCUCUUUUAACCGGGAUGAUAAUGACAGUACCGGGAGAAUAAGCUCCGGCUAACUCCGUG
RNAcentral lists this ribosomal RNA (433 nucleotides) under uncultured bacterium. Its description in RNAcentral is "partial 16S ribosomal RNA". It matches the Rfam family "Bacterial small subunit ribosomal RNA", at positions 29 to 507 of the family's 1533-position model. The record is from RNAcentral.